CCCUAAGAUCAGCGGUAGAACGGCGGACUGUUAAUCCGUAUGUCACUGGUUCGAGUCCAGUCAGAGGAGCCA
This 72-nucleotide transfer RNA is filed under the name Enterobacter sp. Its description in RNAcentral is "tRNA-Asn". The stretch from base 6 to 61 matches the Rfam family "tRNA", at positions 9 to 63 of the family's 71-position model. From Rfam's summary of the family: Transfer RNA (tRNA) molecules are approximately 80 nucleotides in length. Their secondary structure includes four short double-helical elements and three loops (D, anti-codon, and T loops). Lineage: Bacteria; Pseudomonadati; Pseudomonadota; Gammaproteobacteria; Enterobacterales; Enterobacteriaceae. The record is from RNAcentral.